AGUAUAUUCAGAAUGAAAAUUCAAACAAUUACAUGAAACGUACUCAAAAAGUGAGGGUUAUGAAUACAUAGAAAUGUUUACAAUUGAAACAACAAUAACAAUCAGCUGAUAUAAUCAAGUUUUAAUUUAUUAUUAUCAAUUGAACAAUCAAUUUCCAACAAACAGUAAUCAAAAAACGAUCUGAAAAAACUUCACUCUACCAUAACAUCCUAUUAAUUUGUUCAUUUUUUUGUGCUCAUUUAUUUACACAGUUUCAAAAUGAACGUCAUGUGUGUUUAAUUUGCUGGAUAUAUCAAUUAUCAUCAACAAGAGUAACAAUAACAACAAAUUGCAACAAUUGUGAUAACCUUUCACGGUUAAUGAUUAAACUCACCAUCGACUAUUCAUUUCACAAUUAACUUUUUCUUCCCUUGAGUAUAAACAACAACAACAACAACUUACGCCUGACUCGUUGGCACCAUUUUGGACCCGUUGUGUCAAAGGAAAACAUUACAAAUCCAAGAAUGAGUGUAGAGGCAAAAAACAGCACAAUUAAAAAAAAAGGAGAAAGUGAUUAACUAAAUCAACAAAACGUUUGUUUAAUCAAGAAUCAGCUUCUGUUAUUUUACAACCAUCAUUAAGUUUGAGUGGUGCUUUUGUGAAAAGUACAAUCAAAAGCGGAUCAACCGAUUAAGGAUUAGUAACAUUUGGGUCUAUGAAGAUAAUAGGAAAAUAUUGAGAUGAUUUUUAUAUUGAUAGUGAUUUUAUAAAACUAUUGUCUUACCUACGCAAUCAACUGAUUAUUUGCUGUUUUUUGUUGUUGUUGAGAUGAACCCGAAAACUGUUAAUCAAUGUAAGGAAUCAACUAAAGAUGAACAGAUAAAAGGUGUGCAGUAAUUGACAUUGAUAAUAAUGAUGAAGAUGAUUAAAAUUAUAUGAUAAUAAGAUGAGAAUCUGUAUUAGUUCAGGUAAAUUCAAAGUAAUCAAGGUAAAAAACCAAGGCGUUGUUAAACUAGAAACUAAAUGAAAAGGCAAUAAAAACAAACUAAUAAGCAAAAGUUAAUACAUUUCAUGAAGGAACCAACACCAUGAUGAUCAACAUAAUCAUCAUCAUCCCAACAAGAACCAAAGUAGCACCAAAAUUUUGCAAUAUCAAGGAAAAAGAGGUGCAGUAAUCAAGACUAAUAACUCAGCAUGCAAUUGAUUGUGAUGUCGUUGAUUCAGUGGAAAAUUAUUGAAAUGAUUAAGUAGAUGAAGAACGGAACUGUAAUCAUGAUGAUGAUUAACUUUUUUUUCUCCUUUUCUUAAUCAUUUAUUUGCUCAUUUAAAAAAAAUUCAACUCAAUUGCCUCCAUGUUUAUCUCAAUUUCCUCAAUAUUUUUCAUUUAUUUUCAAUCAUCAUUAUGGGCAAACAUUGAAUUCUGUUGAAAGAUUAAGGGAAUGACAAUAAUAAUCAAUAAAUCAACAAGUUACCGAUUACACGGUUUCCAAACAAUUAAUCAUCUUUACUUGUUACAAAAAAAAAGAUUCAGAUGAUUAGUCCCAAAAACCCUUGGUCAGUUAUUGUGGUCAAGGAUUAACAGGCCUGAUGAUGAUAAAUUCAUCAUAUUCCAAGUUGAAGAAACAUGGUCACAAUCAAGAAGAAAAAAAGAAAACAACAAAUUCAUUUUAAUAUGUUAACCUCAUUAAUCUUAAGUUAAUCUUUAAGGCAUCUCACCGAGUUAUCCGUAACCAUUAUCUUUCACACUGUUGAUGCUUUUUUGGAAAAAGAUGAAGAGGAAGAUACUGAUUCUGAUGAUGAUGAUAAAGAUGAACAUCAAAUAAGGAUAAAAGAAAGAGAAUCAUAUAUUUCUCUUUCUUCCCUCAGAUGAAAAGGUAAAAGGCUAAGCUUUUCAUUUUAAUGGUAUCAUGUUUACAAUCAGUUUUAAUACAUUUCUAUUAUAAAACUAUCAACGAUUUGUUUUAAGGAUUUAAAAUGUAAGCCAAAUGAUAAGGUAAAAAUAAACAUCAACAAUAAUCAUCUAAAUUAUUACGAUUAUCGUUGAAACUUGUUCCCGCUCAUUAUUGUUGAUCAACUUUCUGUUUAAAUAUCUACAUGGUGAAAAAAAAGGAUCAACAUCUUAUUAAAUUGUUCAAUAGUUUAAUCAUUUAUCAUCAUUUGGGUAAGCGGAUAAAUACAAUUGGAUACCAUUACCAGUAAUUAACUAUUAAAGUAACAGUAAUCAACGUUAACCAUGAUAAUGAUGAUAAUCAUCAUGACGAUAAACAUGAUAUACUUAUAAGAGACUUAUCUUUGAUUAAAUGUAAUAGUUGUAUAUAAAUGAUAUUAUUAACAUGAUGGUUAAUCUUUAUAUAAAUAUAAUCAAUAUGAUAAUAUUGAUCUCUCAUCAUUUGGUUUAAUAAUCAACAAUGAAUACAUUCAAUAGGUAAUAUCUGAAAGGAUUUAGAUUAAAUCAGAUAAUUGUUAACAUUGUAAAUCAACUUGUCACAUUGUUUAUCAUAUAAUUAGAAUCAGAAUAGAUUAAUUUUGUUUAUGUAUUUUAAUCACAGGUAUAAAUUAGCAUAUUAUACAUGAUUAAUUUUCAUGAUAAUGGGUAAUGAACACAUGAAAAUAAAAAUGGAAAAGCUCAGAAAAUUAUUAAUAAGAGUUAACAAUUAAAAUGAUGAUAUAAAUUGUGAUUAAAAUUCAUGAUAACCAUGUUGAU
This is a long non-coding RNA of Panonychus citri (citrus red mite), 2683 nucleotides long. RefSeq lists it as uncharacterized. NCBI's taxonomy places the organism in Eukaryota, Metazoa, Arthropoda, Arachnida, Trombidiformes, Tetranychidae. The transcript is spliced from 3 exons. The record is from RefSeq and is a predicted model, not a curated record.